AUUGAUCCCGUCGGACCCCACUGCUAUCGAGGUGGGACUAAGCCAUGCUAGUCGAACGAACAGAACUAUGUCUGUAAGUGGCAUACUGCUCAGUAACACGUAGCUAACCUACCCUUAGGACGUCGAUAACCCCGAGAAAUUGGGGCUAAUAGGCGAUAGGUGUGAUGUCCUGGAAUGGUAUUACGCCAAAAGGUAUCCCAUACAUGUUUGGUAUACGCCUAAGGAUGGGGCUGCGGCCGAUCAGGCAGUUGGUGAGGUAAUGGCUCACCAAACCUUUGACCGGUACGGGCCAUGAGAGUGGUAGCCCGGAGAUGGACACUGAGACAAGGGUCCAGGCCCUACGGGGCGCAGCAGGCGCGAAACCUCCUCAAUGCACUAACGUGCGAAGGGGUUACCUCGAGUGCCAUCUGAAGAAGGUGGUUUUUCCUUGGUCUAAAAAGCCUCGGGAAUAAGAGGGGGGCAAGACUGGUGUCAGCCGCCGCGGUAAUACCAGCCCCUCGAGUGGUGGGGAUGAUUAUUUGGCCUAAAGCGUCCGUAGCCGGCCGGGUAAGUUUCCCGUUAAAUCCAACGUCUCAAGCGUUGGACUGCGGGAAAUACUGCCUGGCUAGAGAGUGGGAGAGGUCAGCGGUAUUCUGGGGGUAGGGGCGAAAUCCUUUGAUCCCCGGAGGACCACCAGUGGCGAAGGCUGCUGACUAGAACACGUCUGACGGUCAGGGACGAAAGCUGGGGUAGCGAACCGGAUUAGAUACCCGGGUAGUCCCAGCCGUAAACGAUGCAUGCUAGGUGUUGGGUUGGCCACGAGCCACCCCAGUGCCGCAGGGAAGCCGUUAAGCAUGCCGCCUGGGAAGUACGAUCGCAAGAUUGAAACUUAAAGGAAUUGGCGGGGGAGCACCACCAGGCGUGAAGCCUGCGGUUUAAUUGGAGUCAACGCCGGGAACCUUACCGGAAGCGACAGCAGAGUGAAGGCCAGAUUGAAGAUCUUGCCAGACGAAAUCUUCCGGGCCACACGCGGGCUGCAAUGGUAUGGACAGAGGGCUGCCACCCCGAGAGGGGGAGCCAAUCCCUAAACCAUACCUCAGUUGGGAUUGAGGGCUGCAACCCGCCCUCAUGAACAUGGAAUGCCUAGUAACUGCCAGUCAUCAUCUGGCGGUGAAUACGUCCCUGCUCCUUGCACACACUGCCCGUCGAACCACCCGAAUGAGGUUUGGGUGAGGAAUGGUCGAAUGUUGGCCGUUUCGAACCUGGGCCUCGUAAGGAGGGUUAAGUCGUAACAAGGUGGCCGUAGGGGAACCUGCGGCCGGAUCACCU
RNAcentral lists this ribosomal RNA (1308 nucleotides) under metagenome. Its description in RNAcentral is "bacterial SSU rRNA". It matches the Rfam family "Archaeal small subunit ribosomal RNA". The record is from RNAcentral.